CCAGGAUACUGACAAAGCACACUCGCCCCCAAGAGCAUCCCAGCAUACAACACAGGAAGCAAAGAUCCCAUCAUGAUGCUGAAUAAGGGUAUGAGAAGAAGAAGCUGAACUUGACGCACAACUGAAUCUGUUCAGCAACAUCAAGGGGUUCUAUUCACUAAACAAAAUAUGCAUGGAAAUACAAAGAGUGAAAAAUGUUGAACCUGAACGAGGUCACGGUUUAUCUUGAAUGAAGAAAUGACAGACUACACAACUGGGAAAUUGCCUUGUAGAUUAAAUGGGAAGAAGCUGAAAUUGCCGUAAUGCAGAUGGGAAGUCUAUGACCAAAAAAGAAAUGCAACAUCUAUCAUAGUUAUGG
Long non-coding RNA from Pelobates fuscus (common spadefoot toad), 358 nucleotides. RefSeq lists it as uncharacterized. The transcript has 3 exons. The record is from RefSeq and is a predicted model, not a curated record. Lineage: Eukaryota; Metazoa; Chordata; Amphibia; Anura; Pelobatidae.